RNAcentral lists this ribosomal RNA (396 nucleotides) under uncultured bacterium. Its description in RNAcentral is "bacterial SSU rRNA". It matches the Rfam family "Bacterial small subunit ribosomal RNA", at positions 505 to 898 of the family's 1533-position model. The record is from RNAcentral.
GUGCCAGCAGCCGCGGUAAGACGGGGGAGGCAAGCGUUGUCCGGAAUUAUUGGGCGUAAAGAGCGCGUAGGUGGUUUAUAAAGUCAUUUGUGAAAACUUUAGGCUUAACUUAAAGACUGCAAGUGAUACUGAUAAACUUGAGUACAGUAGAGGAAAGUGGAAUUCCUGGUGUAGCGGUGAAAUGCGCAGAUAUCAGGAAGAACACCAGUGGCGAAGGCGGCUUUCUGGGCUGUUACUGACACUGAGGCGCGAAAGCUAGGGGAGCGAACAGGAUUAGAUACCCUGGUAGUCCUAGCUGUAAACGAUGGAUACUAGGUGUGGGAAGUUAUCGACGCUUUCCGUGCCGAAGCUAACGCAUUAAGUAUCCCGCCUGGGGAGUACGGCCGCAAGGCUAAA